AUUGUACGCUGGCGGCAUGCCUUACACAUGCAAGUCGAACGGCAGCACGGGUGCUUGCACCUGGUGGCGAGUGGCGAACGGGUGAGUAAUAUAUCGGAACGUACCUUAUUGUGGGGGAUAACGCAGCGAAAGCUGUGCUAAUACCGCAUAAUCCCUAAGGUGGAAAGCGGGGGACCGUAAGGCCUCGCGCAAUUAGAGCGGCCGAUACCUGAUUAGCUAGUUGGGGAGGUAAAGGCUAACCAAGGCAACGAUCAGUAGCUGGUCUGAGAGGACGAUCAGCCACACUGGGACUGAGACACGGCCCAGACUCCUACGGGAGGCAGCAGUGGGGAAUUUUGGACAAUGGGGGCAACCCUGAUCCAGCAAUGCCGCGUGAGUGAAGAAGGCCUUCGGGUUGUAAAGCUCUUUUGUCAGGGAAGAAACAGCAGCUCUAACACAGUUUGCGAAUGACGGUACCUGAAGAAUAAGCACCGGCUAACUACGUGCCAGCCGCCGCGGUAA
This 501-nucleotide ribosomal RNA is filed under the name uncultured bacterium. RNAcentral's name for it is "partial 16S ribosomal RNA". It matches the Rfam family "Bacterial small subunit ribosomal RNA", at positions 30 to 523 of the family's 1533-position model. The record is from RNAcentral.